Molecule: ribosomal RNA, 305 nt
Filed under: uncultured bacterium
Lineage: Bacteria
Description: partial 16S ribosomal RNA
Rfam family: Bacterial small subunit ribosomal RNA
Source: RNAcentral
ACAGCAGCAGCCGCGGUAAUACGGAGGGUGCAAGCGUUAUCCGGAUUUAUUGGGUUUAAAGGGUCCGUAGGCGGACUUAUAAGUCAGUGGUGAAAGCCUGUCGCUUAACGAUAGAACUGCCAUUGAUACUGUAAGUCUUGAGUAUAUUUGAGGUAGCUGGAAUAAGUAGUGUAGCGGUGAAAUGCAUAGAUAUUACUUAGAACACCAAUUGCGAAGGCAGGUUACCAAGAUAUAACUGACGCUGAGGGACGAAAGCGUGGGUAGCGAACAGGAUUAGAUACCCGUGUAGUCCCUGUCUCUUAUAC